Molecule: ribosomal RNA, 449 nt
Filed under: uncultured Acidobacteriaceae bacterium
Lineage: Bacteria; Pseudomonadati; Acidobacteriota; Terriglobia; Terriglobales; Acidobacteriaceae
Description: bacterial SSU rRNA
Rfam family: Bacterial small subunit ribosomal RNA
Source: RNAcentral
AAUCAACGCUGGCGGCGUGCCUAACACAUGCAAGUCGCACGAGAAAGGGUAGCAAUACCUGAGUACAGUGGCGCACGGGUGAGUAACACGUGAAUCAUCUACCUUCGAGUGGGGAAUAACUGAGAGAAAUCUUAGCUAAUACCGCAUAAUACCUACGGGUCAAAGCAGCAAUGCGCUUGAAGAGGAGUUCGCGGCAGAUUAGUUAGUUGGCGGGGUAAUGGCCCACCAAGACGAUGAUCUGUAUCCGGCCUGAGAGGGCGCACGGACACACUGGAACUGAAACACGGUCCAGACUCCUACGGGAGGCAGCAGUGGGGAAUUUUGCGCAAUGGGGGAAACCCUGACGCAGCAACGCCGCGUGGAGGAUGAAAUCCCUUGGGAUGUAAACUCCUUUCGAUAGGGAAGAUAAUGACGGUACCUAUAGAAGAAGCCCCGGCUAACUUCGUGCC